UAAAUGCAAACGUAUUAUGUGACGGAACUACCCAAAUAUCACUCGAAUUUUUAAUUAUUGUAAAGUUAAAUUACAAUUUUAGCUUACUUCCGUAACCGUUUGACUGUUGUUUAUUGCGGUAAUUUGGGUGAACUUUUUUGCAUUUGUUUUCAUACUAUUAUGAUUAGACUACUUUUAUCUAGAAUUUUGAAAUUAUGAGAAAUGUGUAUAAAAAUUCAUUUCCUUCUAAGUGUCGUGGUUGAAUUCCAUCCCUUAAUUUAAAGGAGCAAGUACUUGUCAAUAUAUCUUUAACAGAACGUAUUGGUAACGUAAUUGUUAACUGUGUAGGUUAUCCCUGUUCAACUAUUACUGGGCCCCAAUUAUGGUGCCACAUGGGCAAUUUGAGCUUGCUGAAAAGAUUUUUUCUUUAAAGCGUAUGUACCAAGCAUUAUUACAUACAUUUAAACAUUUAAAUGAAGGGUUUGUCGUUUAAUCCUGAAUUCUUGGAACAGAAUAUAAUGAAUACUACUUGAUUCCAACAUAAAUAACUGCAAAAAGGAUUAUUACUGAGUUUUAUUGGAAUGAUUCGUUGUUAUAAAGCGUGUGUUAAGUACCAUCAGCUGAUUCUUGGCAAACAAAAAGUUUACAAUGCUUGCAACUUGAGGGUUGCUUUGAAAGGAUGGUUAUUUUACAAGUAAUAUCAGGUGGAAUUGGAUUUGAAUCACGAACAAGAACAAUUUUGGUACCCUAAGGAAAUUUCAAUCUAUGCUUUGAUGACUGGGGAUUUAACAACACUUCCAUGUUUUACGUAUUUAUUUAACAGGUACCUGCUGAUAAGGAUAAGUCCAGAAAGAAUGAGAAGUAAGAAUUAUGGAGCUUAUGUAAGAGAAACUAGAAGAAAUUCGUUUUCAAAUGCAUCAGUAUACGAUAGGAUUGAGAUGUAAAAUAAUCUUAAUUAGUAUCUAAGCUGAAUAAGUGUCUCUAAGUCUAGGUUUUAUUUGUUUUUACUUGUAAAUUGUCAAUACUUGUAAUGCGUAAGCUAUAGUACUCUUAGUUCAAAUACCUUUUAUGAAAAUUAUUAUUUGUUGUAAUAACAAUUACAUACAUAGAAUACUUUGUAUUAUUUUAUCCAAAUGUAAAAUUAUAUUGAUAUGUAC
This is a long non-coding RNA of Agrilus planipennis (emerald ash borer), 1136 nucleotides long. RefSeq lists it as uncharacterized. The record is from RefSeq and is a predicted model, not a curated record. The transcript is spliced from 4 exons. Lineage: Eukaryota; Metazoa; Arthropoda; Insecta; Coleoptera; Buprestidae.